Molecule: ribosomal RNA, 336 nt
Filed under: uncultured Spirochaeta sp.
Lineage: Bacteria; Pseudomonadati; Spirochaetota; Spirochaetia; Spirochaetales; Spirochaetaceae
Description: bacterial SSU rRNA
Rfam family: Bacterial small subunit ribosomal RNA
Source: RNAcentral
CUGUCCGUCAGCUCGUGCUGUGAAGUGUUGGGUUAACGUCCCGCAACGAGCGCAACCCCUUUUGUCUGUUACCAGCAAGUAAAGUUGGGGACUCAGACGGAACUGCCGGUGACAAACCGGAGGAAGGUGGGGACGACGUCAAGUCAUCAUGGCCCUUAUAUCCUGGGCUACACACGUGCUACAAUGGCAGGUACAGAGCGAAGCGAAGCAGCGAUGCGGAGCAAAUCGCAGAAAGCCUGUCUCAGUACAGAUUGGAGUCUGAAACUCGACUCCAUGAAGGUGGAAUCGCUAGUAAUCGCGCAUCAGCAUGGCGCGGUGAAUACGUUCCCGGGCCUU